Molecule: small nuclear RNA, 103 nt
Organism: Fukomys damarensis (Damara mole-rat)
Lineage: Eukaryota; Metazoa; Chordata; Mammalia; Rodentia; Bathyergidae
Source: Ensembl
GUGCUUACUUUGGCAGCACAUAUACUAAAAUUGGAACGAUACAGAGAAUAGCAUGGCCCCUAUGCAAGGAUUCAUGCAAAUUCAUGUAGCGUUCCACAUUUUU